Molecule: ribosomal RNA, 253 nt
Filed under: uncultured bacterium
Lineage: Bacteria
Description: partial 16S ribosomal RNA
Rfam family: Bacterial small subunit ribosomal RNA
Source: RNAcentral
UACAGAGGGGGCAAGCGUUGCUCGGAAUUACUGGGCGUAAAGGGCGCGUAGGCGGCCUUCUAAGUCGAACGUGAAAUCCCCGGGCUCAACCCGGGAACUGCGUCCGAUACUGGAAGGCUUGAAUCCGGGAGAGGGAUGCGGAAUUCCAGGUGUAGCGGUGAAAUGCGUAGAUAUCUGGAGGAACACCGGUGGCGAAGGCGGCAUCCUGGACCGGCAUUGACGCUGAGGCGCGAAAGCCAGGGGAGCAAACGGG